AUUGAACGCUGGCGGCAUGCCUUACACAUGCAAGUCGAACGGUAACGGGCCUUCGGGUGCCGACGAGUGGCGAACGGGUGAGUAAUGCAUCGGAACGUACCUUUCAGUGGGGGAUAACGUAGCGAAAGUUACGCUAAUACCGCAUAUUCUGUGAGCAGGAAAGCAGGGGAUCGCAAGACCUUGCGCUGAUUGAGCGGCCGAUGUCAGAUUAGCUAGUUGGUGAGGUAAAGGCUCACCAAGGCGACGAUCUGUAGCGGGUCUGAGAGGAUGAUCCGCCACACUGGAACUGAGACACGGUCCAGACUCCUACGGGAGGCAGCAGUGGGGAAUUUUGGACAAUGGGGGCGAACCCUGAUCUAGCCAUGCCGCGUGAGUGAAGAAGGCCUGG
This 388-nucleotide ribosomal RNA is filed under the name uncultured bacterium. RNAcentral describes it as "bacterial SSU rRNA". It matches the Rfam family "Bacterial small subunit ribosomal RNA", at positions 30 to 419 of the family's 1533-position model. The record is from RNAcentral.